UUAAAUAGUAUUAGCUUUGUAGCUAAACACAAGGCAUGACCUGUGGCCUAGCAAUGUUGCUGACCACAAGACAGAAUGAUAGCUAAGCCAGCCAUUUUCUUAUGUCAAGUGCCUUAACCAUUUUGUUAGAAAAAAGCAGAAAUUAAGUCUGUGUACUGAGUACCAGCUGCAGCUAGGAGUGAGAUAAGAUAAGGGGGGCCCAGAGGGAAGAAGAUGGUACAGCGGAGUACAGGAAAACAGAUUGGAAUGUGUAAGAUAACACUAACUUUUUUCUUUUGGAAAAGUACUGAGAUUUGUAAUGCACCAUGUAAGGAGAUGAUGACCAUAAGUAUUGCAUAUUCAAUAACCUUGUAGUUUUCCUUGUUAGAAAAUGUAUAAAAGACAGCCUCACCCUUAAGUCGGGGCCAUUUUACCUCUUUGCUGUUUUAUGGUCUUUACUUGAAUAAAUAAACUGCAGUUACCCCUUCACCCGCGUUGUCUGGUCUCUAAGCCAGCUAGACAACGAACACCAGGGAGUUUUCUCCCACGACAAUUUGGCACCCCAGAUGGGACUCGUCUAGCUUGGAGCCUUUGGAGACCUCCACCCCCUGACACCCCAGCGCGCACCAGUUAAAAUCUCUCCAUAGAUAUGCUGUUUUAAGCCAACUCUUACCUGCCGAUGUUCCAGCACAUCACGUCCAGCCUAAAAACUGGGUGUAUAUAAAAACUUGAAAACAGUCUCCUCUUGAACCAAGGUGGAAAAAACCUUAUCAAAUCCUCCUCACUUCCCACACCACCGUAAAGGUAGCAGAAAAAGACAACUGAAUUCAUUAUACUCGUACAAAGAAGACAGAAGUUUCACCAGAGCUCAGGAUCGGCUCCAACGCGAGCUUCCCCGACCUGGAAAAGGGGAAGCCAGAAGGAGACGACUGCGGACUUCGCGGGAGCACCGCCUGUCUACCUGACCGUGACAAGGGUAGACCAGAAGCAGACGAAACAUCAAAUGGUUCUUGGAUUAGUAGUCCACUUUCAGACAAAAAACUCAAACUGACCAAAGUUUGCCAAUGAACUGUCACCCUUUUGAGAUACUACCAAACCCAAAAAGAAAAAAAACGAGUUUUAAGUGCAGUGUCCUUUAGACACCUUCAAAACCAAACACUUCAAAACCGUUACCUGUCCUAAAAAAAACUGUCGUGGAAAAAACAUGCUGUAGAAUCUGGGAUCAGGUCAGGUAGAAACUUUAUUUCAAUAGCUAAAGGGAGAGACAGUUAAAGAGAAAAUUUCCCCUGGCUCUCUGCCUUACAGCAAAAGGCAAUUAAUCUUUUAUAGAUUCAAGACAAAGAGUUUCCCAAACUAGCUUUUCCCGCCUAUGGGCUAUCUGUUUUGUGUCUUCAAGACAACUUUACAGCCGUCUUCCUCUUAUCUAAAGCAUCUCUCUCUGAGGCCUCGGCUAUCCUUUGCUUCUACAGAGUAAUCACCAGAGCUGCAGGGUUGUUUAUACUGUUUGUGCUGAUUUCUGUUAUAAUAUGGCUUUUAUAACUAUGUUAUUUCUAAUCUUUCUGUUUACUGGAGAAAUAAGUCUUUUACAGGGUCAACUAUAGCUACCAAUUGUUGCAAAUGUGCUAAUCCUGGCACCCGCAGUUUUCCUGUCUGGAUAAGCAAUUCAAUCAAACUCUCUGAAAUAGACAGAAAAGUCAACAUUGCCCGCUGGUAUCCUCCCUCACAUUGCUGUAGUUCAGCAGAAAACCAUAGUAACUGCUGGGCAUGUAGCCAUCUCCCUCUCCACGCUCGAGGAGGGAUCCCUAUGAUUCCUACCCCCUUGGGACUAGUAGAAUCACUCCUAAAUCCAUCUAGUGACCCCAAUCUCCCUAACAAAACUUGGGAACCGAAUAAACAAGAGUACUACUUAGUUAUACCAGUAGUUGGAGAGUGGUGCUUCCACGUAAACUGUUCUAGAAGUUCCUGUUUAAACUUAGGUACUAGCACAUGUCGUCAUUAUUAUACUGAUUCUACUGGAGGAGAUUGGCGUAAUAAUCAUACACAAACUCCUACCUUUUGCAGCUCUUACAAUGACUUUUACAGCAAGGAAGACUUAACCAAUGGCAUUAAUCCUGAAUGCAAACCUAUCCCCGAUUUAAAGAAUGCCCUGUAGUAUUGUUCGUAUCAUGAUACCUCCCGGGGACAGUGCUUUUUCAAUGGAACUACAAAUCCUUCCUUUAAAUCAAAAGGUGGACGAGGAGUGCUAGGAUUAGGAAAUGGUAGCCAUCUACCCCGCAAGUAUUCAGGCCUCACUGCAUUAGAGGGGCAAUAUUGGGUCUUUGGCUCUUACGCCUACUAUAAAAUCCCCGCCAAAGGAAAAGGUAUCUGCUAUCCGGCACUGCUAAGACCCUCUACGUCCUUCGCCACACACCUUCCAUGGGGCAGGUGGCGAAACAAGAGGGAUUUGUCGAAAAGCCGAGAUAUGCUAGAAGGUAAUUUCAAAGAACCACUUACCACAGGAAAACUUAUUGGGUACUCCCUAGCCGCUAUACUCCCUGGAGUAGGUGCUUCCUGUCUUGGACGAUACACCUUGCGUCUCCAAGCUGUAAUUAAAAUAAUGGCCCACGAAUACAGGGUAGGCCACCAAAAACUUUCAAAAGCUGUCGCAGCUUUAGCUAACACUCAAAAAGAACUCCGACAAAUGUUAAUUCAGAAUCGCGUAACUCUUAAUUUCCUCCUAGCUGCCCAGGGAGGUGCUUGCACAGUCAUCGGACCAGAAUGUUGUGUAUGGGUUAACAGCUCUUUUACCAUAGUUCAAAACCACCUCGAUGAUGCAGCUGUACAUAUCCAAAAUGCCGAAAAUGUAGCUAAAAUCCCCAAAGAUGCAUCUCUUAACUGGUUUACUGGUUGGUUCCCUUCCCUUAUGGGAUGGCUUAGACCUUUUGUGCUAAGUAUAAUUAGAAUAGUUAUAACUAUAGUCUGUCUGUUAUGCUGUUUUCAGUGUUUGUGUUCUUUGGGGCAACAGAUGAUACAAAGACAAGUAAAAAUAUAUGGUCAGCUCAUACAAAUACCCAGCAACAAUCAUCAAGGCCUAACUCCACAAGAGCAUGAAUACUUAAAAGUGUGUUCCAAAACUUUUAAAAGUUUGGAACAAAGGGGGGAUUGUGAUGGGCAAGUUUGUUUUUACCCUGAAAUAAAAUAGUUUUCUGUAGUAUACUGUUAAGUUAACAAUAAUUUAAAUUAUUAAAUAGUAUUAGCUUUGUAGCUAAACACAAGGCAUGACCUGUGGCCUAGCAAUGUUGCUGACCACAAGACAGAAUGAUAGCUAAGCCAACCAUUUUCUUAUGUCAAGUGCCUUAACCAUUUUGUUAGAAAAAAGCAGAAAUUAAGUCUGUGUACUGAGUACCAGCUGCAGCUAGGAGUGAGAUAAGAUAAGGGGGGCCCAGAGGGAAGAAGAUGGUACAGCGGAGUACAGGAAAACAGAUUGGAAUGUGUAAGAUAACACUAACUUUUUUCUUUUGGAAAAGUACUGAGAUUUGUAAUGCACCAUGUAAGGAGAUGAUGACCAUAAGUAUUGCAUAUUCAAUAACCUUGUAGUUUUCCUUGUUAGAAAAUGUAUAAAAGACAGCCUCACCCUUAAGUCGGGGCCAUUUUACCUCUUUGCUGUUUUAUGGUCUUUACUUGAAUAAAUAAACUGCAGUUACCCCUU
This is a long non-coding RNA of Alligator sinensis (Chinese alligator), 3667 nucleotides long. RefSeq lists it as uncharacterized. Lineage: Eukaryota; Metazoa; Chordata; Crocodylia; Alligatoridae. The transcript has 2 exons. The record is from RefSeq and is a predicted model, not a curated record.